UGGGGAAUAUUGGACAAUGGGGGAAACCCUGAUCCAGCAAUGCCGCGUGUGUGAAGAAGGCCUGCGGGUUGUAAAGCACUUUUGUUCGGGAAGAAAACCUGUGGACUAAUACUCUGCGGGGAUGACGGUACCGGAAGAAUAAGCACCGGCUAACUUCGUGCCAGCAGCCGCGGUAAUACGAAGGGUGCAAGCGUUAAUCGGAAUUACUGGGCGUAAAGGGUGCGUAGGCGGCUUUUUAAGUCGGAUGUGAAAGCCCCGGGCUUAACCUGGGAAUGGCAUCUGAUACUGGAAGGCUAGAAUCUGGAAGAGGGUGGUGGAAUUCCCGGUGUAGCGGUGAAAUGCGUAGAGAUCGGGAGGAACAUCAGUGGCGAAGGCGGCCACCUGGUCUAAGAUUGACGCU
This 400-nucleotide ribosomal RNA is filed under the name uncultured bacterium. RNAcentral's name for it is "bacterial SSU rRNA". It matches the Rfam family "Bacterial small subunit ribosomal RNA", at positions 355 to 747 of the family's 1533-position model. The record is from RNAcentral.